This 1727-nucleotide ribosomal RNA is filed under the name Fagopyrum tataricum (Tartarian buckwheat). RNAcentral's name for it is "eukaryotic LSU rRNA". It matches the Rfam family "Eukaryotic large subunit ribosomal RNA", at positions 323 to 1758 of the family's 3401-position model. The record is from RNAcentral. Lineage: Eukaryota; Viridiplantae; Streptophyta; Magnoliopsida; Caryophyllales; Polygonaceae.
UGACCACGAGACCGAUAGCACACAAGUACCGUGAGGGAAAGGUGAAAAGAACUUUGAAGAGAGAGUUCAAGAGUACGUGAAACUGAAGUGGUGUAAACGGACGAGUUCGAAAAGUCCGAAUGGUGAGAUUCAAGCUUACCGUGCCGGUGGCCCUCGGGUUCAGAUGGCGUCGUCAGCUCGGGCUUCGGUUCGGGUCAUACGGCGUCACUCGUCCUGGGGGUAUCUGUCUGGUGCGGUGGGCUGCACUUCUCGCCUAGUAGGACGUCGCGACCCGUUGGGAUGUUCCGUUCACUGGCCCCUGGUGGAGCCCGCGCCGGAGCGUGGCCUUGUGCCGCGUUGCUGUUUGCACGGACCCGGGGUGACCUGAUCGGCGCCCGACGGUAUCAAAGCUUGGGAAGAGGCCGCACAGAGGAUGCGUUCGAUGGCCGUUUCGGCCUACACUCGGACAGGCCUGCACCCGGUCAGCGGCGCUUCUGCUUUCGAUACUCGUCCGACCCGUCUUGAAACACGGACCAAGGAGUCUAACAUGUGCGCGAGUCAUUGGGCUCUGCGAAACCUAAAGCGAAAUGAAAGUGAAGGCCACGCACUUGUGCUGGUGCUUAGGGGUGAUGGUCGUUCCUACACGGGCGGCCCGCAACCCCGGGGCGUCUCGUUCUCUUUGAGAAGUGGCGCACCCAGAGCGUACACGUUGGGACCCGAAAGAUGGUGAACUAUGCCUGGCCAGGACGAAGUCAGGGGAAACCCUGAUGGAGGUCCGUAGCGAUUCUGACGUGCAAAUCGAUCGUCGGAGCUGGGUAUAGGGCGAAAGACUAAUCGAACCAUCUAGUAGCUGGUUCCCUCCGAAGUUUCCCUCAGGAUAGCUGGCGCUCAUAUAGAGUUUCAUCCGGUAAAGCGAAUGAUUAGAGGCCUUGGGGCCGAAACGACCUCAACCUAUUCUCAAACUUUAAAUGGGUGAGAACUCCGGCUUGCUUAGGUGAAGCCGCGAGACUCACGAAUCAGAGUGCCAAGUGGGCCAAUUUUGGUAAGCAGAACUGGCGCUGUGGGAUGAACCAAACGCCGAGUUAAAGCGCCUAAAUCGACGCUCAUUGGAAACCAUGAAAGGCGUUGGUUGCUUAAGACAGCAGGACGGUGGCCAUGGAAGUCGGAAUCCGCUAAGGAGUGUGUAACAACUCACCUGCCGAAGCAACUAGCCCUGAAAAUGGAUGGCGCUGAAGCGUCGUGCUUAUACUCGGCCGUCAGGGCAAGAGAGGCUGGACUUGUCCGCCAUGAAGCUCUGACGAGUAGGAGGGUCGCGUCGGUGUGCGCAGAAGGGUCUGGGCGUGAGCCUGCCUGGAGCCGCCGACGGUGCAGAUCUUGGUGGUAGUAGCAAAUACUCCAGAGAGGCCCUGGAGGACUGAUGUGGUAGAAGGGUUUCGUGUGAACAGCCGUUGCACACGAGUCAGUCGAUCCUAAGCCCUAGGAGAAAUCCGAAGUCGAUGCGCGAGUCUUGCUAUGCUUUUUGCCCUGUGCGAAAAACAAACAGAGGUGCAGACCGCCGUCGGCGAAAGGGAAUCCGGUUCCUAUUCCGGAACCCAGCAUCGGAAAACGUUCAAUCGGGCCCUUAAAGCUCGUCAGGGUAACCUAACAUGCCCCGGAGACGCCGUCGGGAGCUGCCGGGAGAGUUAUCUUUUCUGUAUAAGUGCGCACCCCCUGGAAGCCUCUAGCAGGGAGAUAGGGGGCAGCGCGCG